Molecule: ribosomal RNA, 2194 nt
Filed under: Vibrio cholerae
Lineage: Bacteria; Pseudomonadati; Pseudomonadota; Gammaproteobacteria; Vibrionales; Vibrionaceae
Description: partial 23S ribosomal RNA
Rfam family: Bacterial large subunit ribosomal RNA
Source: RNAcentral
GUUGUAUGGUUAAGUGACUAAGCGUACACGGUGGAUGCCUGGGCAGUCAGAGGCGAUGAAGGACGUACUAACUUGCGAUAAGCGCAGAUAAGGCAGUAAGAGCCGUUUGAGUCUGCGAUUUCCGAAUGGGGAAACCCAACUGCAUAAGCAGUUACUGUUAACUGAAUACAUAGGUUAACAGAGCAAACCGGGGGAACUGAAACAUCUAAGUACCCCGAGGAGAAGAAAUCAACCGAGAUUCCGGUAGUAGCGGCGAGCGAACCUGGAUUAGCCCUUAAGCACUCGGUGAAGUAGGUGAACAAGCUGGAAAGCUUGGCGAUACAGGGUGAUAGCCCCGUAACCGACGCUUCAUCGAGCGUGAAAUCGAGUAGGGCGGGACACGUGAUAUCCUGUCUGAAUAUGGGGGGACCAUCCUCCAAGGCUAAAUACUCCUGACUGACCGAUAGUGAACCAGUACCGUGAGGGAAAGGCGAAAAGAACCCCUGUGAGGGGAGUGAAAUAGAACCUGAAACCGUGUACGUACAAGCAGUAGGAGCACCUUCGUGGUGUGACUGCGUACCUUUUGUAUAAUGGGUCAGCGACUUAUAUUCAGUGGCAAGGUUAACCGUAUAGGGGAGCCGUAGCGAAAGCGAGUCUUAACUGGGCGCUCAGUCUCUGGAUAUAGACCCGAAACCGGGUGAUCUAGCCAUGGGCAGGUUGAAGGUUGAGUAACAUCAACUGGAGGACCGAACCGACUAAUGUUGAAAAAUUAGCGGAUGACUUGUGGCUAGGGGUGAAAGGCCAAUCAAACUCGGAGAUAGCUGGUUCUCCCCGAAAGCUAUUUAGGUAGCGCCUCGGACGAAUACUACUGGGGGUAGAGCACUGUUAAGGCUAGGGGGUCAUCCCGACUUACCAACCCUUUGCAAACUCCGAAUACCAGUAAGUACUAUCCGGGAGACACACGGCGGGUGCUAACGUCCGUCGUGGAGAGGGAAACAACCCAGACCGCCAGCUAAGGUCCCAAAGUAUUGCUAAGUGGGAAACGAUGUGGGAAGGCUCAGACAGCUAGGAUGUUGGCUUAGAAGCAGCCAUCAUUUAAAGAAAGCGUAAUAGCUCACUAGUCGAGUCGGCCUGCGCGGAAGAUGUAACGGGGCUAAGCAAUACACCGAAGCUGCGGCAAUGUCUUUUAGACAUUGGGUAGGGGAGCGUUCUGUAAGCCGUUGAAGGUGAAUCGUAAGGUUUGCUGGAGGUAUCAGAAGUGCGAAUGCUGACAUGAGUAACGACAAAGGGGGUGAAAAACCUCCUCGCCGGAAGACCAAGGGUUCCUGUCCAACGUUAAUCGGGGCAGGGUGAGUCGACCCCUAAGGUGAGGCCGAAAGGCGUAAUCGAUGGGAAACGGGUUAAUAUUCCCGUACUUCUGACUAUUGCGAUGGGGGGACGGAGAAGGCUAGGUGGGCCAGGCGACGGUUGUCCUGGUUCAAGUGCGUAGGCUUGAGAGUUAGGUAAAUCCGGCUCUCUCUAAGGCUGAGACACGACGUCGAGCUGCUACGGCAGUGAAGUCAUUGAUGCCAUGCUUCCAGGAAAAGCCUCUAAGCUUCAGAUAGUCAGGAAUCGUACCCCAAACCGACACAGGUGGUCGGGUAGAGAAUACCAAGGCGCUUGAGAGAACUCGGGUGAAGGAACUAGGCAAAAUGGUACCGUAACUUCGGGAGAAGGUACGCUCUUGAUGGUGAAGUCCCUCGCGGAUGGAGCUGACGAGAGUCGCAGAUACCAGGUGGCUGCAACUGUUUAUUAAAAACACAGCACUGUGCAAAAUCGCAAGAUGACGUAUACGGUGUGACGCCUGCCCGGUGCCGGAAGGUUAAUUGAUGGGGUUAGCGCAAGCGAAGCUCUUGAUCGAAGCCCCGGUAAACGGCGGCCGUAACUAUAACGGUCCUAAGGUAGCGAAAUUCCUUGUCGGGUAAGUUCCGACCUGCACGAAUGGCGUAAUGAUGGCCACGCUGUCUCCACCCGAGACUCAGUGAAAUUGAAAUCGCUGUGAAGAUGCAGUGUACCCGCGGCUAGACGGAAAGACCCCGUGAACCUUUACUACAGCUUGGCACUGAACAUUGAACCUACAUGUGUAGGAUAGGUGGGAGGCUAUGAAGACGUGACGCCAGUUGCGUUGGAGCCGUCCUUGAAAUACCACCCUUGUAUGUUUGAUGUUCUAACUUAG